This 471-nucleotide ribosomal RNA is filed under the name Salmonella enterica subsp. enterica serovar Thompson. Its description in RNAcentral is "bacterial SSU rRNA". It matches the Rfam family "Bacterial small subunit ribosomal RNA", at positions 1 to 468 of the family's 1533-position model. RNAcentral also lists the same sequence under 3 other names. Lineage: Bacteria; Pseudomonadati; Pseudomonadota; Gammaproteobacteria; Enterobacterales; Enterobacteriaceae. The record is from RNAcentral.
AAAUUGAAGAGUUUGAUCAUGGCUCAGAUUGAACGCUGGCGGCAGGCCUAACACAUGCAAGUCGAACGGUAACAGGAAGCAGCUUGCUGCUUCGCUGACGAGUGGCGGACGGGUGAGUAAUGUCUGGGAAACUGCCUGAUGGAGGGGGAUAACUACUGGAAACGGUGGCUAAUACCGCAUAACGUCGCAAGACCAAAGAGGGGGCCCUUCGGGCCUCUUGCCAUCAGAUGUGCCCAGAUGGGAUUAGCUAGUUGGUGAGGUAACGGCUCACCAAGGCGACGAUCCCUAGCUGGUCUGAGAGGAUGACCAGCCACACUGGAACUGAGACACGGUCCAGACUCCUACGGGAGGCAGCAGUGGGGAAUAUUGCACAAUGGGCGCAAGCCUGAUGCAGCCAUGCCGCGUGUAUGAAGAAGGCCUUCGGGUUGUAAAGUACUUUCAGCGGGGAGGAAGGUGUUGUGGUUAAUAACC